UCGGAAUUACUGGGCUUAAAGAGUUCGUAGGUGGUUGAAACAGUUGGUGGUGAAAUCCCAGAGCUUAACUCUGGAACUGCCAUCAAAACUUUUCAGCUAGAGUAUGAUAGAGGAAAGCAGAAUUUCUAGUGUAGAGGUGAAAUUGGUAGAUAUUAGAAAGAAUACCAAAUGCGAAGGCAGCUUUCUGGAUCAUUACUGACACUGAGGAACGAAAGCAUGGGUAGCGAAGAGGAUUAGAUACCCUCGUAGUCCAUGCCGUAAACGAUGUGUGUUAGACGUUGGAAAUUUAUUUUCAGUGUCGCAGCGAAAGCAAUAAACACACCGCCUGGGGAGUACGACCGCAAGGUUAAAACUCAAAUGAAUUGACGGGGACCCGCACAAGUAGUGGAGCAUGUGGUUUAAUUCGAAGAUACGCGCAGAACCUUACCAACACUUGACAUGUUCGUCGCGACUUUAAGAGAUUAAAGUUUUCGGUUCGGCCGGACGAAACACAGGUGCUGCAUGGCUGUCGUCAGCUCGUGUCGUGAGAUGUUGGGUUAAGUCCCGCAACGAGCGCAACCCUCACUUUUAGUUGCCAUCAUUAAGUUGGGCACUAUGAAAGAACUGCCAGUGAUAAGCUGGAGGAAGGUGGGGAUGACGUCAAGUCCUCAUGGCCCUUACGUGUUGGGCUACACACGUGCUACAAUGGUAUCUACAACAGGAAGCAAAACCGCGAGGUUAAGCAAAUCCUUAAAAGAUACCUCAGUUCGGAUUGCACUCUGCAACUCGA
Molecule: ribosomal RNA, 769 nt
Filed under: marine metagenome
Description: bacterial SSU rRNA
Rfam family: Bacterial small subunit ribosomal RNA
Source: RNAcentral